GCAAGUAAACUUACCUCACGGCAACUAGGUGGGUAGCUUGAAAACCAUGCGCUUCAAACAGCCCACGAAUGGCAAAGCAAGCUCCACUUCACACGAGCUCAAGCCUCAACACACGGCAAGCUAUCCCAAGCAUGUAAACCACACGCUACUUGCAAGCAACCAACAUCCACUAUGCGCAUAACAAUCAACAAAGACAACCAUACACAAUAACAAGCCAAAGAAAGGUAGGAAGCAAGAUUUUAGGAAGUAGAAAGC
This 255-nucleotide unclassified non-coding RNA is filed under the name Hevea brasiliensis (rubber tree). The record is from RNAcentral. Lineage: Eukaryota; Viridiplantae; Streptophyta; Magnoliopsida; Malpighiales; Euphorbiaceae.